Antechinus flavipes (yellow-footed antechinus) is the source of this 558-nucleotide long non-coding RNA. RefSeq lists it as uncharacterized. Lineage: Eukaryota; Metazoa; Chordata; Mammalia; Dasyuromorphia; Dasyuridae. The transcript has 2 exons. The record is from RefSeq and is a predicted model, not a curated record.
GCUGCCGCCGCCGCCGCCGCCGCCUCGGGCGCUCGCCCGGUUGGUUUCCUCCAGCAGACAAACUUUCGGCUCAAAGCUCGGCCAGAGAACGGGGUUGCUUGCAACAAGUCUCCAGAAUACAGCUUCCAGGAGAGGCUGAGGCUCCGGCUCCGGCUCGGGCUCCGGCUCUGGCUCCAGCUCUCCCGCGGCAGCGGCGUUGGCGGCGGCAGCUACAGCAGCAGCAGCCCCAGUCCCAGCAGCCCCGACAGAGGCGGCGGCGGCGGCGGUGGUGAUGGUGGUGGCGGUGGCGGUGGCGGCGGUGGCGGCGGCGGUGGCGGCGGGGAGGAGAUGGGAAGCGCCAGGCCAGGUUGCACCCCCCCUCCCCCACCCGCAAACAUGCACUCACACACACGCACACACACUGCACACACACAGACACACACGCACGCACCCCGCUCCCUGGCCCACGGCCCCGGUUCCUGCCCCGGCUCAGCUCGGAGGGCUUCCCGGCCACUUUCGAAUUUGCAACCACCCCCAAAAUAAAUAAAUAAAUGGGAAGCGAGCCGAGAGGAAAACAAA